Molecule: long non-coding RNA, 10459 nt
Filed under: Nicotiana tabacum (common tobacco)
Lineage: Eukaryota; Viridiplantae; Streptophyta; Magnoliopsida; Solanales; Solanaceae
Description: long non-coding RNA (NTAB_LNC006157)
Source: RNAcentral
AGAAAUUUAUAAUAAUUCAAAAACUACUACAUGACUACCCAAAAUCUGGUGUCAUAAUCCACGAACUUCUAAGAAUCACUACAAAUACUGGUUUUAAGAAAAUACAUCUAUUCUCAAAAUAAAAGAAAAAUGGGAAACUAGGAUAACUGGAAGGGGACUCUAGGGUCUGCGAAUGCCGGCAGAUCUAUAUUGGCUAUCAUGUGGACUGAAGGCACCAACCCAACCCUGGUCAAUGCAGUCCAGUACCAGAAUUUGCACAGAAAGUGCAGAGUGUAGUAUCAGUACAAACGACCACAUGUACUGAUAAGUGUUGAUCCUAACCUCGGUGAAGUAGUGACAAGGCUAGGACACGACAAUAACAUGAACCUGUACAUUUAAAUCAUAUACGAGAAGAUAACAACAAAUGAAAAUUUAGCAUAUAUUAAUGGGAAGGGGGAGAAACAUGCUCGGAGGAAUAUCAAUUCUUGAAAUAGUAUAGUAAAAAACGCAAUAAAUAACAUGCCUUACACCUAUGAAAGUAAUAACACAGCAAACAAGUGCAUGGCAUCACCUUUCGUGUUUUUACUCGCAUUCUAAUCAUAAAAAGCAACAGAAACGGCACAGCAUCACCCUUCGUACAUUAGCUCGCUCAUAACAUGGCACGGCAUCAACCUUCGUGCAUUAACUCUCUCAUAGAAUACGGCACAGCAUCACCCUUUGUGCAUUAUCACUCACAAAAUACGGCACAACAUCACCCUUCAUGCAUUAUCACUCACUCACAAUACAUUGCACGACAUCACCCUUCGUGAUUUACACUCUUCCUCACCCAAACAACAGAACAAUAAUAACCCGGCAAGGAAAUCAUCAAUAACCAACCUCGUUUCAAUAAUUAACUUCACAAUAUAAAUCUCAACUUAAGUCAAUAAUCAACCAAUAUCUAAUUCCAGGAAAAACAUGAUAAGAUUUGUUUAACAUGAAGAAUAUCCAGUUUAAGCAUGAACAGUACGAAUAAAGAAUACAACAGUCACAAGUAAUAGACUCACUCGCAUGCUAUGACUCGAUGACAACGUAUACGUACUCCUCACCUCACCUAUACGUCGUACUCAACAACCAAACACAUAGCAAAUAAGGCAACAACAUCUAAUCCCUCAAGCUAAGGUUAGCCACAACACUUACCUCGAUUCCACGGCCGAACUCAAGCCUCAAUCGCCGCUUUUCCCUUAGUUUCCACCUCCGAACCACUCGUAUCUAGUCAUAAUUAACUUAAUAAUAUCAAUUAUCGCUAAAGAAAUCAAUCCCAAUGCACAAUUACAAGUUUCCCAACAUUUUUCCCAAAAAAGUCAAAAAUCGACCCUAGGCCCGCUUGGUCAAAACUCGAGGUUCGAACCAAAACCCAUUCAUCCAUUCAUCCCCGAGCCCAAAUAUGUAAUUAGUUUCAAAAUCUGACCCCAAAUCGAGGUCUAAAUUUUAAUUAUACAAAACUCCCUAAUUCUACCCAAACCCCAAAUUUCUACCAUGAAAACUCUAGAUUUUAGGUUGAAAAUUGAUGAAAUGCAAUGGAUAAUUGAAAGAAAGUAGUUUAGAAUCAUUUACCAACACUUUGGAGAAGAAUUUGUCUCUUGAAAAUCACCUCUAAGCCUUCCAAUUUUUGAAAAUAUGGAAAAAUGGCCUAAUCCCGUUUUUUGUUCUGUUUUUAAAACACUGGACAGGUCUUCAUCGCGUUCGCGAUGGACCUGUCGUGUUCACGAUGCAUUGCGGCCAGAAGGGCCUUCGCAUUCAUGAACAACUGCUCGCAUUCGCAAUGGUCUAUCCCCCUGACCAUCACGUUCGCGGGCCUGGGACCGCGUUUGCGAAGAGCAACUCAAUGAUUCCCCAACCCACCUCCAUUUUACUCCACGCGUUCGUACGAUGCCGGUCGCGUUCGCGAAGAGCAGCCCCCCAGUGCUCCGCGUUCGCGACCAUGGCUACGUGCUCAUGAUGAACAAUCACCUCCCUAGCCCAGGUUACACUUCACGUUCGCGAGAGUAUCUUCGCGAACGCGAAGAAGAAAAACCAGAAACACUGACUGCAGCAAAACACACCAGAUUUCUAAGUGCAAAUCACCCCGUAGCCUAUCCGACUCACCGAACUCUUGGGGCUCAACACAAAACAUGCACACAAGUCUUAAAACAUCAUACAAACUUGCUCGCGUCAUCAAAUCGCCAAAAUAACAGCUAGAACGACGAAUUUAGCAAUCAAAUUGCAUGAAAUUUUCAAGAAAGUUCAAAAGUUUUAUUUUCUCAACAAAGGUCCAAAUCACGUCAAAUCAAUCCCGUUCCUCAUCAAAUUUCACAUAUAGGGUAUAAAUAUCAUAACGGACCUGUACCAGACUCCGAAAAUACAAUACAGACCCGAUAUCAACAAAAUCACUUAUUAAUCAAUUUCUUAAAACCUUUAUAAUUCCAAUUUAACAAUUAUCAUCACAAUUUUAUUUCUCAAGCUAGGGACCUCAGAAUUUAAUUUCGGGCAUACGUCUAGGUCUCAUAUUUUACUACGAAUCCUCCGGGACCGUCAGAACAUGAGUCCAUGUCCGUUUACUCAAAAUGUUGACCAAAGUCAACUAAACUUAACUUUUAAAGGCAAAAAUAAUAUUUUCCUCAAAUUUACAUAAAGGCUUUCCAGAAACGCGCCCGGACUGCGCCCACAAAUCGAGGAGAAUUAAGAUGAGGUUUUGAAGACCGUAGAACCCCGAAUUGGGUUCUAAAAUACAAGAUGACCUUUCGGGUCAUGACCUUUCGGGUAAUCACAUUCUCCACCUCUAAAACAACUAUUCGUCCUCGAACGGACAUAGAAAAGUACCUGAGCUAGGGAAAAGAUGGGGAUAUCUGCACUGCAUGUCGGACUCAGACUCCCAGAUGGUUGCCUCAACAGGCUGACCUCUCCACUGCACACGAACCGAAGGAUAACUCUUCAACCUCAACUAACGAACCUGCCGGUCUAGAAUAGCUACCUGCUCCUCCUCGUAGGUAAGGUUGUGCAUAAUUUGGUAAAUACCGAAUUACCAUGCCGAAACCGAAAAUUUUGGUAUUUGGUAUACGGUAUUUUGUAUGGUAUUUGGUUUAUGUUUUUAAAAAAAAUGGUAUUAGGUAUGGUAUUUAGUAUUUAAAAAUAAAAUACCAAAAUACCGAUACCGUACCGAAAUAUAUAUUAUAUUACACAAAACAUAUAUUAUCAAUUAUAACACAAAUAUUAAAAAUCUAAAAUUUUACUUUCCUCUAUUCUCUAAGUUCAUCAAUUAACUCUAAACAAGUAACAAGACGUUUCUAAUGAUAAAAUAUUCUUUUAUGUACAAUUUUCUCAAUUUGGGUCGAUAUUUACUAGUUUUGGACAAAAUUUUGUCAACAAACAUUUUCAGUUUUGUAUUUUUGAGUAUUUUAAUUAAGAAUAUUAGAGUUUAUAGCUCUAUGCACUAGUUAGUAUUCAAACCGAAUAAACCGAAGUUACCGAACCGAAUAAAUCGAAACCGAAAGGAGAAAAACCAAACCAUACCAAAUUUAAUUAGGCACGGUAUUGGUAUAGGAUUUUAAGAAACCGAAUACCGAAAAUACCAAACCGAAAUGUUUAAAUAUCAUACUGUAUCGACCGACGAACACCCCUACUCAUAGGUCAAAUCCUUGUCCAGUUGGACAGUGCUUAAAUCUAACACGUGGGAUGGAUCGCCAUAAUACUUCUGAAGCUUGGACACAUGAAACGCUAGGUGUACUACUGAUAAACCUGGUGGCAACGCAAGUUUAUAGGUCACCUCUCCCACUCGAUCCAUCCUUUUUCUUUACAAACAACACUGGUGCACCCCAAGGCAAUACGCUAGGCCUAAUGAAGCCCUUAUCAAGCAAAUAUUGCAAUUUCUCCUUCAAUUCUUUCAACUCUGGCGGGGUCAUACGGUAUGACGGAAUAGAAAUAGGUUGAGUGCCCGAAGCCAAAUUAAUGCAAAAGUCAAUAUUCCAGUCGGGCGGCAUCCCCGGCAGGUCUGCAAGAAAUACCUCUGAAAACUCACGAACAAUUGGUACGAAAUUCAUGGAAGGAACCUCCGCACUGGAAUCACGAACAUAAGCCAAAUAAACCAGACACCCCUUCUCGACCAUACGCCAAGCCUUCACAUAAGAAUAAUCCUACUGGUAAAAUGACCAAGAGUCCUCCACUCCAAUCGAGGCAACCCCGACAAGGCUAAGGUCACAUUCUUGGCAUGACAGUCUAAUAUAGCAUGAUAAGGUGACAGCCAAUCCAUCCCCAAAAUAACAUUGAAGUCAACCAUAUCGAGAAGUAGGAGAUCUACGCUGGUCUCAAGAUCCCCCAAUAAUAACCAUACAUGAGCGAUAGACACGAUCUACAAUAAUAGAAUCACAAACCGGUGUGGACACAUACACAGGAGCACUAAAAGAAUCACGAGGCACAACCAAACAUGAAGCAAAGUAAGAUGAUACAUACGAAUAAGUAGAUCCCAGGUCAAAUAAUACUGAGGCAUCCCUACUGCAAACUGAAACCGUACCUGUGAUAACGGCAUCGGAUGCCUCAGCCUCAGGCCUGGCUGGAAAAGCAUAACAUCGGGGAUGGGCCCCACCACUCUGAACUACAUCCAUGGGACGGCCUCCUGCUGGCUGGCCCCCACCUCUAGCGGUCUGACCUUCACCUUUAAUACCUCGACCUCUACCUCUACAUGUUUGACCCCUACCUCUACCUAAUUGAGCAGGCGGUGGAACACCCGGUGCCGGGACCAUGGAACGAGAACCCUAAUGUUGAGAACUGCUCGAUGUUCGAGGGCAAUACCUAGAAAUAUGCCUCGGAUCGCCACAAGUAUAACAAGACCUCAGCUGCUGAGGCUGCUGACCCUGAAACUGACCUUGACGACCUGGAUAACCACCCUGAAAACUCUUGAGCGGAGGUGCACUGAUAGGAGCUGAUGGUGCACUGUAGGCUAGCUGAUCAGAAUACUGCAUAUGAGAGCCAUGGCCACUUAAAGCAUCGUGAAAAGCCUGAAGUGCUGAAUGAAACGGCCUAAGAGGAUGGCAUCUACCAAAAGAAUCCCUACCUCAAGAUGAGGCACCACUAAACCUAUUAGAAUGACGAGGCCUCUUGUCAGAACCCUGACCACUUCCCUGAGCUAAAACCAUCUCAACUCGCCUGGUCACAUUGGCCGCAUCCUGGAAAGAAAUCUCGCUCUCUAUCUCCUUAGCCAUCUGCAAUCUGAUAGGCUGAGCGAGUCCCUCAAUAAACAUCUUCACCCUCUCUCGGUAAGAAGUAUAAGAAGAGCAUGACGGGCCAAAUCAACAAACCUAAUCUCGUACUGAGUGACAGUCAUAGAACUCUACUGAAGAUGCUCGAACCGCCUACGAUAGUCCUGUCUCUGCGUAACAAGAAGGAACUUCUCGAGAAAUAGCUGAAAGAACUGGUCUCAAGUCAAGGCAGGCGACCCAGCUAGUCUAGUCAACAAAAAAUCAUUCCACCAUCUCUUGGCGGACCUUAUCAUCUGGAAUACAGAAAAGUUGACUCUAUUAGUCUCCACUAUCCCCAUGUUCCGCAAUACAUCAUGGCAGCGGUCAAGAUAAUCUUGUGGGUCCUCAGAAGCUGCCCCACUGUAAUGAACCGGGAAAAGCUUGGUGAACUUGUCCAACCUCAACAAAGCCUCAGAAGACAUGACUGAUCCACCAGCGGCCUAUGCCGCAAUAGCUGGUUGAGUUGUCGGAGUCUGAAACUGAGGAACCAUCUGCUCCGAAGUGUGGGUAGCGAGAGUCUAGAUCCUCCCUCAGCCUGAGAGACUGCUGGUGCUACAGGAAAUGUGCCAGUCUGAGCUACGCUCUCCAUAAGGCACUAGACGGACCAAAGCAUCCUGAAGUACCGAGGUGGCGAUGAACCCCUCGGGAACCUGAGCUGGCCCUGCCGGAAUGGUCUGACCCGGAACCUCAUCAUGGAACUCCACCUGAGGCUCCGUUACUGGUGUUGCUGCUCGAGCUCUAGCCUGAGCCCUGCCCCUACCUCGGCCUCUGGCACGGCCUCAGCCUCUGCCCCUCGUAGGAGCUUCCACUGGGGGCUUGAGCUACUGAUCAGUUGAUAAAGAGGUACGUGUUCUCGCCACCUGCAAAAGAACAAGAGUAUAAAGUUCGAUUAGCAUUGAGAAAUCAAAUCGCACGACAGAGAAGAAUAGAAGUGAAGUUGUUCCUAAGCUCUAUAACUUCUAACGGAUAAGCACAGACGUCUCCAUACCGAUCCCUCGGACUCUACCUAGCUUGUUCGUGAAUUGUGAAACCUAUACAACUUAGUACUCUGAUACCAACUUGUCACGACCUGGAUAUCCCUACCGUCAGGAUCGUGAUGGCGCCUAACUCUUCGAAAUGCUAGGCAAUCCAACACAUAAAGAUCUAAUAUGCUAACCGCUAUCCAAAACAGUAAAUAACAAUAAUUAAGCCAAAACGAAGUGAAGAAGAGCAAAAAAUUUAUAAUAAUUCAAAAAUUACUGCACGAUUAUCCAAAAAUCUGCUCUCGCAAUCCACGAACUUCUAAGAGUCACUACAAAUACUAGUUUUAAGAAAAUACAUUUGUUCUCGAAAUAAAAGAAAACAGGGAAACUAGGAUAACUGGAAGAGGACUCAAGGGUUUGCGAACGCCGGCAAAUCUACCUUGGGUCUCCUAUGGACUGAAGGCAGCGAACCAACUCUAAUCAAUGCGGUCCAAUACCAGAAUCUGCACAAAAAAUGCAGGGUACAGUAUCCGUACAACCGACCCCAUGUACUGGUAAGUGUCUAGCCUAACCUCGGUGAAGUAAAGACAAGGCUAGGACACGACAAUAACAUGAACUUGUGCAGUUAAAUCAUAUAUGAGAAGAUAACAACAAAUGGAAAUUUAACAGAUAUUAACGGGAAGGUGGAGAAACAUGCUGAGGGGAAUAUCAAUUCUUGAAAUAGUACAAUAAAGAAACGCAGUAAAUAACAUGCCUUACACCUAUGAAAGUAAUAAAACGGCAAACAAGUGUGUGGCAUCACCCUUCGUGUUUUUACUAUCAUUCUCACCAUAAGAAGCAACAGAAACGGCAUGACAUCACCCUUCGUGCAUUAGCUCGCUCAUAACAUGGCAUGACAUCGCCCUUCGUGCAUUAACUCUCUCAUAAAAUACGGCACGGCAUCGCCCUUCGAGCAUUAUCACUCACAGAAUAUGGCACGGCAUCACCCAUCGUGCAUUAUCACUCACAAUACAUUGCACAGUAUCACCCUUCGUGUUUUACACUCUUCCUCACCCAAACAACAGAACAAUAACAACCCGACAAUGGAAUUAUCAAUAACCAACCUCGUUUCAAUAUUUAACUUUCACAAUAUAAAUCUCAACUUUAGUCAAUACUCAACCAAUAUCUAAUUCCACGAAAAACAUGAUAAGAUUUGUUUAACAUGAAGAAUAACCAGUUUAAGCAUGAACAGUACAAAUAAAGAAUACAACAGUCACAAGUAAUAGACUCACUCGCAUGCUAUGACUCGAUGACAACGUAUACGUACUCCUCACCUCACCUAUAUGUCGUACUCAACAACCAAACACAUAGCAAAUAAGGCAACAACACUUAAUCCCUCAAGCUAAGGUUAGCCACAACACUUACCUCGAUUCCACGACCGAACUCAAGCCUCUAUCACUGUUUUCCCUUAGUUUCCACCUCUGAACCACUCGUAUCUAGUCAUAAUUAACUUUAUAAUAUCAAUUAUCGCUAAAGAAAGCAAUCCCAAUGCACAAUUACAAGCUUCCCAACAUUUUUCCCAAAAAGUCAAAAACCGACCUCGGGCCCGCUUGGUGAAAAUUCGAGGUUCGGACCAAAACUCAUUCACCCAUUCAUCCCCGAGCCCAAAUAUGUAAUUAGAUUUGGAAUCCGACCCCAAAUCGAGGUCUAAAUUUCAAUUAUACAAAAAUCUCUAAUUCUACCCCAACACUCAAUUUCUACCAACACUUUGGGGAAGAAUUUGUCUCUUGAAAAUCACCUCUAAACCUUCUAGUUUUUGAAAAUAUGGAUGAAUGGCCUAAUCCCGUUUUUGGUUCUGUUUUUAAAACACUGGACAGGUCUUCAUCGCGUUCAUGAUGCAUUGCGGCCAGAAGGGCCUUCGCGUUCGCGAAGAGCUGCUCGCGUUCAUGAUGGUCUGUCCCCCUGACCAUCGCGUUCCAGGGCUAGGACUGUGUUCGCGAAGAGCAACUCAAUGAUUCCCCAGCCUACCUCCAUUUUACUGUACGCGUUCGUGUAAUGCUGGUCGCGUUCGCGACCAUGGCUAUGUGUUCGCGAUGAACAAUCCCCUCCCCAAGCCAGGUUACACUUCGCAUUCGUGAGAGUAUCUUCGUGAACGCGAAGAAGAAAAACCAAAAACACUAACUGCAGCAAAACACACCAGAUUUCUAAGUGCAAAUCACCCUGUAGCCUAUCCGAAACUCACCCGAGCCCUCGGGGCUCCAAACCAAACAUGCACACAAGUCUUAAAAUAUCAUACGAACUUGCUCGCGUGAUCAAAUCGUCAAAAUAAUACCUAGAACUACGAAUUUAGCAUCAAAUUACAUGAAAAUUUCAAGAAAGUUCAAAAGUUCUAUUUUCUCACCCAAAGGUCCAAAUCACGUCAAAUUAGUCUCAUUCCUCACCAAAUUUCAUAGAUAGAGUAUAAAUAUCAUAAUGGAGAUGUACCGGGCUCCGGAACCACAAUACGGACCCGGUAUCAACAAAAUCACUUAUUAAUCAAUUUCUUAAAACCUUUAUCAUUCCAGUUUAAUAAUUUUCAUCAAAAAUUCAUUUCUCGGGCUAAGGACCUCGAAAUUUGAUUCCGGGUAUGCCCAGGUUCCAUAUUUUACUACGGACCCUCUAGGCCGUCAGAAUACGAGUCCGGGUCCGUUUACUCAAAAUAUUGAUCGAGGUCAACUAAAAUUAACUUUUAAAGGCAAAAAUAAUAUUUUUCUCAAAUUUUCACAUAAAGGCUUUUCGAAAAUGCGCUCGGACUGUGCACGCAAAUCAAGGAGAAAUAAGAUGAGGUUUUGAAAGCCUCGGAACCCCAAAUUGGGUUCUAAAACACAACAUGACCUUUCGGGUCAUCAUACCUGGCAUAUUGCAAUACAACCUCCAGCAAACAGGGUACCUGCAUAGCCGCAAUGUCACAUCAAAGAACACCUUAAAAGAGGGACGAAGAUGAGUUCUCUUAGAAAUUAGUUCCCCUAAAAGUAAAAGAUAAUAAAUGGACGCUUAUUAAAGACAACAUUUAUCUGCACCACAUUCUAUAUGCAUCUUUUGACAUUAAAGCUGGACAAUAUAUUUAUCGUCCUAUUUACAUAUAAUACACGAAAGACAAAGUGCAAAAAAAAGUAAACAAUGCCCUCAGGAUAAGUUUCUUUCAUCAGAAAGUAAACAUAUCCGAAAGACAAAGUGCAAAAAAUUCCUUAUAAAAAUAUUAUAACUCAUCUUAAACAUCGGUAUUAUUAGUAUACCAGUGUGCUACUCUACUUUGAUACUCUGUAAGUGGCACACUGCAUCUGUCUAAGUUACCACCUUGCUGCGAAGGUCAAUUCGAUAGUAUUACCCUUAUUUUUAAUUAGAGACAUUCUUACUUCUAUUUUGCUUUGCAUUCUCGGAAUGCUUAUUAAUGAAAAGGCUUAUUUUGUCAACAAAAAAAAGGAACUACCUGAGCUAUUGAUGUAAAGCACUCUAGUAGGGAAGAAAGAUCUUUGUGUAAAUGUGAAAGCUGCUGCAAGUUUUCAAACUUAAGAUCAGGAUAUAAUUACCAGUAAAUGAAUAAUAAAGAACAAUUAGGUAUUAGAAGCCUAAUAUUUUUUAAUAGGCAAAAGCAUUACGAAAAAGUACCUGUGAUCAUUAUUAAAAAAGUCACUAACAUAUAGAAAGAUAAGAGAACACAAACAGUGAAGUAAGGUAUUAACUGUACCUGAUUUAUCCGUCAAUCCCAACAGUAUUUUACAAUUUUCCAAUGACAUCAUAAACAACUAUAAGGUUCCCUCUGCAAUAUAUUCUAAAUGCACACAUCAAUAAGAAAAGAAGGCAGUUUUGUUUUACAUUUUGUAUAUCAAUACCCCCAUAUACCCCAAUGCUUUUGGCUGGUGAAGACUUAGUAAAAAAAAAUAUUUUUGUCUUUAUUACUUAUUUGCUUACGUCUUCAUUAAAAAGUUCAAAAAAGAUAGUGCACAGAAUAUUAUAAUCACUAAAAUAUGGAGCAUUUUAUAAUACGGAGUAGAGGGUUGAGUUUGGGAAUAAAAUCAGGUGAAGCAUUAUAACUUUCUCAAUACAAAAUGUCUGUGUAGCUCAAUUUCUAACAUGUGGAAGGUCCCUAUCUACCAUAAAAAAUUUGCACAUUCUACUGCAGUAUCAAAGCAAUCCAGUGCAGCUUUGAAGUUGAAACAUACCUGGUGCACGGGAGUAUGAGAAAUAACUUCACCAAGACUCAUGCAUAAAGACCUGGUGAGGUCUUGCACUUCUUGUCCAUCUCCUCCU